RNAcentral lists this ribosomal RNA (567 nucleotides) under uncultured Planctomycetota bacterium. RNAcentral describes it as "bacterial SSU rRNA". It matches the Rfam family "Bacterial small subunit ribosomal RNA", at positions 153 to 729 of the family's 1533-position model. The record is from RNAcentral. Lineage: Bacteria; Pseudomonadati; Planctomycetota.
GAAACUGCCGGUAAUACCAGAUAAUGUCUCCGGACCAAAGGUGUAAUUCCGUCCGAGGAUGAGUCCGCGUCCUAUUAGCUUGUUGGUGGGGUAAUGGCCUACCAAGGCUUUGAUGGGUACCGGGUGUGGGAGCAUGACCCGGCUCACUGGGACUGAGACACUGCCCAGACACCUACGGGUGGCUGCAGUCGAGAAUCUUCGGCAAUGGGCGCAAGCCUGACCGAGCGACGCCGCGUGCGGGAUGAAGGCCUUCGGGUUGUAAACCGCUGUCAGAGGGGAGGAAAUGCAUGGGGGUUCUCCCCUGUGUUUGACCUAUCCUCAGAGGAAGUACGGGCUAAGUUCGUGCCAGCAGCCGCGGUAAUACGAACCGUACGAACGUUAUUCGGAAUCACUGGGCUUAAAGAGUGCGUAGGCGGCUUGGAAAGUUGGGUGUGAAAUCCCUCGGCUCAACCGAGGAAUUGCGCCCAAAACUUCCAGGCUUGAGGGGGGCAGAGGUAAGCGGAACUAAUGGUGGAGCGGUGAAAUGCGUUGAUAUCAUUAGGAACACCUGAGGCGAAAGCAGCUUAC